AGGUCGAUGAGUGCUAGUGUUAGAGGGUUUCCGCCCUUUAGUGCUGCAGCUAACGCAUUAAGCACUCCGCCUGGGGAGUACGGCCGCAAGGCUGAAACUCAAAGGAAUUGACGGGGGCCCGCACAAGCGGUGGAGCAUGUGGUUUAAUUCGAAGCAACGCGAAGAACCUUACCAGGUCUUGACAUCCUUACGACCUCCCUAGAGAUAGGGAUUUCCCCUUCGGGGGACGGAAGUGACAGGUGGUGCAUGGUUGUCGUCAGCUCGUGUCGUGAGAUGUUGGGUUAAGUCCCGCAACGAGCGCAACCCUUGAUCUUAGUUGCCAGCAUUCAGUUGGGCACUCUAAGGUGACUGCCGGUGACAAACCGGAGGAAGGUGGGGAUGACGUCAAAUCAUCAUGCCCCUUAUGACCUGGGCUACACACGUGCUACAAUGGAUGGUACAAAGGGCAGCGAAACCGCGAGGUCGAGCCAAUCCCAUAAAACCAUUCUCAGUUCGGAUUGCAGGCUGCAACUCGCCUGCAUGAAGCCGGAAUCGCUAGUAAUCGCGGAUC
This 550-nucleotide ribosomal RNA is filed under the name Neobacillus thermocopriae. Its description in RNAcentral is "bacterial SSU rRNA". It matches the Rfam family "Bacterial small subunit ribosomal RNA", at positions 801 to 1350 of the family's 1533-position model. The record is from RNAcentral. Lineage: Bacteria; Bacillati; Bacillota; Bacilli; Caryophanales; Bacillaceae.